GACGGAGGGUGCAAGCGUUGUUCGGAAUCACUGGGCGUAAAGCGCGUGUAGGCGGUUCGAUAAGUCGAAUGUGAAAGCCCGAGGCUCAACCUCGGAAGUGCAUUCGAAACUGUCGGGCUUGAGUACGGGAGAGGGAAGCGGAAUUCCUGGUGUAGAGGUGAAAUUCGUAGAUAUCAGGAGGAACACCGGUGGCGAAGGCGGCUUCCUGGACCGAUACUGACGCUGAGACGCGAAAGCGUGGGGAGCAAACAGGAUUAGAUACCCUGGUAGUCCACGCCGUAAACGGUGAGCACUAGGUGUAGCGGGUAUUGACCCCUGCUGUGCCGCAGCUAACGCAUUAAGUGCUCCGCCUGGGGAGUACGGUCGCAAGAUUAAA
This 376-nucleotide ribosomal RNA is filed under the name uncultured bacterium. Its description in RNAcentral is "bacterial SSU rRNA". It matches the Rfam family "Bacterial small subunit ribosomal RNA", at positions 524 to 898 of the family's 1533-position model. The record is from RNAcentral.